This 531-nucleotide ribosomal RNA is filed under the name uncultured bacterium. RNAcentral describes it as "bacterial SSU rRNA". It matches the Rfam family "Bacterial small subunit ribosomal RNA", at positions 979 to 1509 of the family's 1533-position model. The record is from RNAcentral.
CCUUGACAUACUAAGAACUUUCCAGAGAUGGAUUGGUGCCUUCGGGAACUUAGAUACAGGUGCUGCAUGGCUGUCGUCAGCUCGUGUCGUGAGAUGUUGGGUUAAGUCCCGNAACGAGCGCAACCCUUUUCCUUAUUUGCCAGCGGGUAAUGCCGGGAACUUUAAGGAUACUGACAGUGACAAACUGGAGGAAGGCGGGGACGACGUCAAGUCAUCAUGGCCCUUACGGCCAGGGCUACACACGUGCUACAAUGGUCGGUACAAAGGGUUGCUACCUCGCGAGAGGAUGCUAAUCUCAAAAAGCCGAUCGUAGUCCGGAUCGCAGUCUGCAACUCGACUGCGUGAAGUCGGAAUCGCUAGUAAUCGCGGAUCAGAAUGCCGCGGUGAAUACGUUCCCGGGCCUUGUACACACCGCCCGUCACACCAUGGGAGUUUGUUGCACCAGAAGUAGGCAGUCUAACCGCAAGGAGGACGCUUACCACGGUGUGGCCGAUGACUGGGGUGAAGUCGUAACAAGGUAGGCGUAGAUGA